Molecule: unclassified non-coding RNA, 365 nt
Filed under: Hevea brasiliensis (rubber tree)
Lineage: Eukaryota; Viridiplantae; Streptophyta; Magnoliopsida; Malpighiales; Euphorbiaceae
Source: RNAcentral
UCUCUCUCUCUCUCUCUCUCUCUGUGUCACGCCCUCUCUUUCUUCUUGUUCUUCUCCUUCCUCUUCUCCUCUUGCGGUCUUUUCUCAUCUGAAAAUUCCAUGGCCGCCUCUUCUACUACCAAUCUCUCUCUUCCCAAGUCUCAAAUUCCUCUCAAAGCCCCUCUCUCCCUCCUCGCCAAAACCCUUCAUAAACCCUCUCUUUUACCUCGCCAACCCUCCUCCGUCUCUCACACCGUUGCUUUCUCUGCCAAGAACCCCAUCUCUCAUGUUAUCUCCGCAAACGAAAACUACCCAGAUGAUUCUUCUUUUUCUUUUAAUUUUGAUGAUGACGAUAAGCCCCGUGAAGAGUGUGGUGUUGUGGGUAU